RNAcentral lists this ribosomal RNA (914 nucleotides) under uncultured marine archaeon. RNAcentral describes it as "bacterial SSU rRNA". It matches the Rfam family "Archaeal small subunit ribosomal RNA", at positions 1 to 921 of the family's 1478-position model. The record is from RNAcentral.
UUCCGGUUGAUCCUGCCGGAGGCUACCGCUAUUGGAGUUCGAUUAAGCCAUGCGAGUCGAGAGUCUUAGGGACUCGGCGCACCGCUCAGUAACACGUGGGUAACCUGCCCUAUGCUGGGGGAUAACCUCGGGAAACUGAGAAUAAUACCCCAUAGUUCACCACGCCUGGAACGGUGGGUGGACCAAAGCUCCGGCGGCAUAGGAUGGGCCUGCGACGUAUCAGGUUGUAGGGGGUGUAACGUACCCUCUAGCCAUCAACGCGUACGGGUGUUGGGAGACAUAGCCCGGAGAUGGAUUCUGAGACACGAAUCCAGACCCUACGGGGUGCAGCAGGCGCGAAAACUUGGCAAUGCGAGCAAUCGUGACCAGGGAACUCCAAGUGGCUGGGGUAAUACCCAGUUUUUUCUUGACUCUUCAAAGGUCUUGGAAUAAGGGGUGGGUAAGGACGGUGCCAGCCGCCGCGGUAAUACCGGCGCCUCAAGUGGUAGUCGCUUUUAUUGGGCCUAAAACGUCCGUAGCCGGUCUGGUACAUUCGUGGGUAAAUCAACCCGCUCAACGGGUUGAAUUCUGCGAGCACGGCCAGACUUGGGACCGGGAGAGGUGUGGGGUACUCUCAGGGUAGGGGUAAAAUCCUGUCAUCCUGAGAGGACCACCUGUUGCGAAGGCGCCACACUAGAACGGAUCCGACGGUCAGGGACGAAACCUAGGGGCACGAACCGGAUUAGAUACCCGGGUAGUCCUAGGUGUAAACGCUGUGGACUUGAUGUUGGGGGCGCUCCGAGCGCUUUCAGUGUCGAAGCGAAGGUGAUAAGUCCACUGCCUGGGGAGUACGGUCGCAAGGCUGAAACUUAAAGGAAUUGGCGGGGGAGCACUGCAACCUGAGGAUUGUGCGGUUUAAUUGGAUUCAACGCCGG